CAAAGUGUGUAAUCGCGCCGGUGCUUUGGACACUGGUGAGGAAAGUCCACACUCGCCCAGGCUGUGAUGCCUGGAGUUUGGAUGCCUGACGAAUUCAUAAGUCAGGGCAGUCUGGUUUCGACUGGGCUGACGGCGGUGAAAGGAGCUACGUCCCGUUGGGGAUAUGCUCCGAAUAACCUGAAAGUGCCACAGUGACGAAGUCUUCCUGGAAACGGGAAGAGUGGAACGAGGUAAACCCCAUCUGCGAGAAACCCAAAUUACGGUAGGGGAACUGCCCGGAAGGAAACAGAACGGAAGGGCGGAUCGCUGGCAACAGCGAUAGAUAGAUGGUUACAGCUCGAGUGCGAGGCUGGCCGCCGACUUGUAGCACGAGAGUACAGAAUGUGGCUUAUAGCU
This 396-nucleotide RNase P RNA is filed under the name Effusibacillus lacus. Its description in RNAcentral is "Bacterial RNase P class B". It matches the Rfam family "Bacterial RNase P class B". Rfam says of the family: Ribonuclease P (RNase P) is a ubiquitous endoribonuclease, found in archaea, bacteria and eukarya as well as chloroplasts and mitochondria. Its best characterised activity is the generation of mature 5'-ends of tRNAs by cleaving the 5'-leader elements of precursor-tRNAs. The record is from Rfam by way of RNAcentral. Lineage: Bacteria; Bacillati; Bacillota; Bacilli; Caryophanales; Alicyclobacillaceae.